Molecule: ribosomal RNA, 449 nt
Filed under: uncultured prokaryote
Description: bacterial SSU rRNA
Rfam family: Bacterial small subunit ribosomal RNA
Source: RNAcentral
UGGGGAAUAUUGGACAAUGGGGGCAACCCUGAUCCAGCAAUGCCGCGUGUGUGAAGAAGGCCUGCGGGUUGUAAAGCACUUUCAGUAGAGAAGAAAAGCUCAUGGUUAAUACCCGUGAGUCUUGACGUAACCUACAGAAGAAGCACCGGCUAACUCCGUGCCAGCAGCCGCGGUAAUACGGAGGGUGCGAGCGUUAAUCGGAAUUACUGGGCGUAAAGCGUCUGCAGGUGGCUAUGCAAGUCUGCUGUUAAAGAGUGGAGCUCAACUCCAUAAGGGCAGUGGAAACUGCGUGACUAGAGUACGUUCGGGGUAGAGGGAAUUCCUGGUGUAGCGGUGAAAUGCGUAGAUAUCAGGAAGAACACCGGUGGCGAAAGCGCUCUACUAGGCCGUAACUGACACUGAGAGACGAAAGCUAAGGGAGCGAAUGGGAUUAGAUACCCCCGUAGUCC